This 253-nucleotide ribosomal RNA is filed under the name uncultured bacterium. RNAcentral describes it as "partial 16S ribosomal RNA". It matches the Rfam family "Bacterial small subunit ribosomal RNA", at positions 524 to 776 of the family's 1533-position model. The record is from RNAcentral.
UACAGAGGGUGCGAGCGUUAAUCGGAAUUACUGGGCGUAAAGCGCACGUAGGCGGCUUGGUAUGUCGGGUGUGAAAUCCCCGGGCUCAACCUGGGAACUGCAUCCGAAACUGCCUUGCUCGAGUAUGGGAGAGGGAAGUGGAAUUUCCGGUGUAGCGGUGAAAUGCGUAGAUAUCGGAAGGAACAUCAGUAGCGAAGGCGACUUCCUGGACCAAUACUGACGCUCAGGUGCGAAAGCGUGGGGAGCAAACAGG